AAAGUCGUAACAAGGUUUCCGUAGGUGAACCUGCGGAAGGAUCAUUAACAAUUCUUCUUAACAAAUCAACCCUUUGUGAACUGGCCUCUAGCAGGGUUGCGCUACUACUACUUUGUUGUUGUAGCUGCUGCUUAAAAGUCCCGCUGAGGUGAUAAUAAUAAUGCUAGCGUUGCGAGUCCAACAGCUCUGGCUGUUAGAUGAGCAUACGUAGCACUACUAUAUAGACUAUAUGUAUGACUAUUUGAGUAAUCAAAAACAAAUACAACUUUUAACAGUGGAUCUCUUGGCUCCU
Molecule: unclassified non-coding RNA, 292 nt
Filed under: Basidiomycota sp.
Lineage: Eukaryota; Fungi; Basidiomycota
Description: partial contains small subunit ribosomal RNA, internal transcribed spacer 1, and 5.8S ribosomal RNA
Rfam family: Eukaryotic small subunit ribosomal RNA (bases 1-47)
Source: RNAcentral